AAAUUGAAGAGUUUGAUCAUGGCUCAGAUUGAACGCUGGCGGCAGGCCUAACACAUGCAAGUCGAACGGUAACAGGAAACAGCUUGCUGUUUCGCUGACGAGUGGCGGACGGGUGAGUAGUGUCUGGGAAACUGCCUGAUGGAGGGGGAUAACUACUGGAAACGGUAGCUAAUACCGCAUAACGUCGCAAGACCAAAGAGGGGGACCUUAGGGCCUCUUGCCAUCGGAUGUGCCCAGAUGGGAUUAGCUAGUAGGUGGGGUAA
RNAcentral lists this ribosomal RNA (263 nucleotides) under Escherichia coli. RNAcentral's name for it is "partial 16S ribosomal RNA". It matches the Rfam family "Bacterial small subunit ribosomal RNA", at positions 1 to 260 of the family's 1533-position model. The record is from RNAcentral. Lineage: Bacteria; Pseudomonadati; Pseudomonadota; Gammaproteobacteria; Enterobacterales; Enterobacteriaceae.